UACGUAGGGGGCAAGCGUUGUCCGGAAUCAUUGGGCGUAAAGAGCGCGCAGGCGGUCGGCCAAGUCGAGUGUGAAAGCCCCCGGCUCAACUGGGGAGGGUCAUUCGAUACUGGUCGACUCGAAGGCAGGAGAGGGAAGCGGAAUUCCCGGUGUAGUGGUGAAAUGCGUAGAUAUUCGGAAGAACACCAGUGGCGAAGGCGACUUACUGGACACAUAUUGACGCUGAGGUGCGAAAGCGUGGGGAGCAAACAGG
Molecule: ribosomal RNA, 253 nt
Filed under: uncultured bacterium
Lineage: Bacteria
Description: partial 16S ribosomal RNA
Rfam family: Bacterial small subunit ribosomal RNA
Source: RNAcentral